UCCAGACUCCUACGGGAGGCAGCAGUGGGGAAUAUUGGGCAAUGGGCGCAAGCCUGACCCAGCAACGCCGCGUGAAGGAAGAAGGCUUUCGGGUUGUAAACUUCUUUUCUCAGGGACGAAGCAAGUGACGGUACCUGACGAAGAAGCCACGGCUAACUACGUGCCAGCAGCCGCGGUAAUACGUAGGGGGCAAGCGUUAUCCGGAUUUACUGGGUGUAAAGGGGGUGUAGGCGGGGCUGCAAGCCAGGAGUGAAAGCCCGGGGCCCAACCCCGGGACUGCAGUUGAAACUGGGGGUCUUGAGUGCAGGAGAGGCAGGCGGAAUUCCUGGUGUAGCGGUGAAAUGCGUAGAUAUCAGGAGGAACACCGGUGGCGAAGGCGGCCUGCUGGACAGCAACUGACGUUGAGGCCCGAAAGCGUGGGGAGCAAACAGGAUUAGAUACCCUAGUAG
RNAcentral lists this ribosomal RNA (449 nucleotides) under uncultured bacterium. Its description in RNAcentral is "bacterial SSU rRNA". It matches the Rfam family "Bacterial small subunit ribosomal RNA", at positions 330 to 793 of the family's 1533-position model. The record is from RNAcentral.